Centrocercus urophasianus (Greater sage-grouse) is the source of this 795-nucleotide long non-coding RNA. RefSeq lists it as uncharacterized. The record is from RefSeq and is a predicted model, not a curated record. Lineage: Eukaryota; Metazoa; Chordata; Aves; Galliformes; Phasianidae. The transcript has 4 exons.
AUCCUCACUACCGUGUCAGAGAGCGUUCUGUCAGACUGCCCCUCUGCUGCCAUCCAUCACACGACAAGAAAACAGCAGCAUGUUGAUGUUGGUGGAAAGGUUCAACCUCUGCUGCCAUAGCACCAACCUCUGCUGCCAGCUGCCUCUGUGGGCCGACAGCUUAAGAUAGGAGGCAUUACUUUUGGAGCAGCCCUGCUGAAGAACGUGGUUUGUGUACACAGGCUGGAAGGAAAGCAGAGAAACAAAACAAAGAAAACACCAACAAAUUGGAAGAAUGAAGAGUGAGGAGGAAUUGAAGUGUCCACAGAGUUCACAGUGUGGGUGACUGGAAGUGAUGGGGGAAAGGCAGCGAAUGCUGCUUGUGUAACACACAGCACUGGGUCUGAAUGCAGGACUGCUCUGCCUGUGUCCAUGUGCAGCACUUGGUAACAAGCGUUUGUGCUGUGUGCUCUGCUGUGCACCCAAACCCAGCACUGCUGUCCCUUGAACUCAUCUUCUCCCUCAGUGCUAUCUGCUUAUCCUUCCUGAGAUUGUUUCUACAUCCUGAAUUCCAUAUGUAGGAAACUGCACAGAGCUGAGCUCAGCCUUCUUGUGACACCUGAAGCAUUGCUGUGAGGGGAGACUGAGAUCCAGGUGAGCGAGAGGAGCAAAGGGUGGGACUGAGCAGCAGAAACCCAUGCAGAGAGGAGGAACACCCGUGCUGGGGCACAAAGCACACUGCCUGCUUGCAGUGUGAGGCACUGGAGCUUGGAUGCUGCCGUCCCAAAGGGCACAAGCUGCGAUGGGAGCACACAA